UACGGAGGGGGCGAGCGUUAUUCGGAAUUAUUGGGCGUAAAGGGCGCGUAGGCGGCCCGGUAAGUCAAAGGUGAAAUCCCUCGGCUCAACUGAGGAACUGCCUUUGAAACUGCUGGGCUUGAGUCCGGGAGGGGGUAGCGGAAUUCCCAGUGUAGCGGUGAAAUGCGUAGAUAUUGGGAGGAACACCGGUGGCGAAGGCGGCAUCCUGGACCGGCAUUGACGCUGAGGCGCGAAAGCCAGGGGAGCAAACGGG
Molecule: ribosomal RNA, 253 nt
Filed under: uncultured bacterium
Lineage: Bacteria
Description: partial 16S ribosomal RNA
Rfam family: Bacterial small subunit ribosomal RNA
Source: RNAcentral